AGCUUUGCACAGUGGCAGUAUUGCAGUCAAUGAGGUUAAUCCUAGAUGCAAUUAUUGCUAAUUGAAAACUUAUCCCAAUACCCCACCACAAAAUAUAGUCAUCAUUGGCAAUUUUUGACAGUCUAUUUUUUUCAAGUUUGCAGA
Indicator indicator is the source of this 144-nucleotide small nuclear RNA. RefSeq annotates it as U4 spliceosomal RNA. The transcript has a single exon. NCBI's taxonomy places the organism in Eukaryota, Metazoa, Chordata, Aves, Piciformes, Indicatoridae. The record is from RefSeq and is a predicted model, not a curated record.